Molecule: ribosomal RNA, 2906 nt
Filed under: Escherichia coli
Lineage: Bacteria; Pseudomonadati; Pseudomonadota; Gammaproteobacteria; Enterobacterales; Enterobacteriaceae
Description: 23S ribosomal RNA
Rfam family: Bacterial large subunit ribosomal RNA
Source: RNAcentral
GGUUAAGCGACUAAGCGUACACGGUGGAUGCCCUGGCAGUCAGAGGCGAUGAAGGACGUGCUAAUCUGCGAUAAGCGUCGGUAAGGUGAUAUGAACCGUUAUAACCGGCGAUUUCCGAAUGGGGAAACCCAGUGUGUUUCGACACACUAUCAUUAACUGAAUCCAUAGGUUAAUGAGGCGAACCGGGGGAACUGAAACAUCUAAGUACCCCGAGGAAAAGAAAUCAACCGAGAUUCCCCCAGUAGCGGCGAGCGAACGGGGAGCAGCCCAGAGCCUGAAUCAGUGUGUGUGUUAGUGGAAGCGUCUGGAAAGGCGCGCGAUACAGGGUGACAGCCCCGUACACAAAAAUGCACAUGCUGUGAGCUCGAUGAGUAGGGCGGGACACGUGGUAUCCUGUCUGAAUAUGGGGGGACCAUCCUCCAAGGCUAAAUACUCCUGACUGACCGAUAGUGAACCAGUACCGUGAGGGAAAGGCGAAAAGAACCCCGGCGAGGGGAGUGAAAAAGAACCUGAAACCGUGUACGUACAAGCAGUGGGAGCACGCUUAGGCGUGUGACUGCGUACCUUUUGUAUAAUGGGUCAGCGACUUAUAUUCUGUAGCAAGGUUAACCGAAUAGGGGAGCCGAAGGGAAACCGAGUCUUAACUGGGCGUUAAGUUGCAGGGUAUAGACCCGAAACCCGGUGAUCUAGCCAUGGGCAGGUUGAAGGUUGGGUAACACUAACUGGAGGACCGAACCGACUAAUGUUGAAAAAUUAGCGGAUGACUUGUGGCUGGGGGUGAAAGGCCAAUCAAACCGGGAGAUAGCUGGUUCUCCCCGAAAGCUAUUUAGGUAGCGCCUCGUGAAUUCAUCUCCGGGGGUAGAGCACUGUUUCGGCAAGGGGGUCAUCCCGACUUACCAACCCGAUGCAAACUGCGAAUACCGGAGAAUGUUAUCACGGGAGACACACGGCGGGUGCUAACGUCCGUCGUGAAGAGGGAAACAACCCAGACCGCCAGCUAAGGUCCCAAAGUCAUGGUUAAGUGGGAAACGAUGUGGGAAGGCCCAGACAGCCAGGAUGUUGGCUUAGAAGCAGCCAUCAUUUAAAGAAAGCGUAAUAGCUCACUGGUCGAGUCGGCCUGCGCGGAAGAUGUAACGGGGCUAAACCAUGCACCGAAGCUGCGGCAGCGACGCUGAUGCGUUGUUGGGUAGGGGAGCGUUCUGUAAGCCUGUGAAGGUGUGCUGUGAGGCAUGCUGGAGGUAUCAGAAGUGCGAAUGCUGACAUAAGUAACGAUAAAGCGGGUGAAAAGCCCGCUCGCCGGAAGACCAAGGGUUCCUGUCCAACGUUAAUCGGGGCAGGGUGAGUCGACCCCUAAGGCGAGGCCGAAAGGCGUAGUCGAUGGGAAACAGGUUAAUAUUCCUGUACUUGGUGUUACUGCGAAGGGGGGACGGAGAAGGCUAUGUUGGCCGGGCGACGGUUGUCCCGGUUUAAGCGUGUAGGCUGGUUUUCCAGGCAAAUCCGGAAAAUCAAGGCUGAGGCGUGAUGACGAGGCACUACGGUGCUGAAGCAACAAAUGCCCUGCUUCCAGGAAAAGCCUCUAAGCAUCAGGUAACAUCAAAUCGUACCCCAAACCGACACAGGUGGUCAGGUAGAGAAUACCAAGGCGCUUGAGAGAACUCGGGUGAAGGAACUAGGCAAAAUGGUGCCGUAACUUCGGGAGAAGGCACGCUGAUAUGUAGGUGAAGUCCCUCGCGGAUGGAGCUGAAAUCAGUCGAAGAUACCAGCUGGCUGCAACUGUUUAUUAAAAACACAGCACUGUGCAAACACGAAAGUGGACGUAUACGGUGUGACGCCUGCCCGGUGCCGGAAGGUUAAUUGAUGGGGUUAGCCGCAAGGCGAAGCUCUUGAUCGAAGCCCCGGUAAACGGCGGCCGUAACUAUAACGGUCCUAAGGUAGCGAAAUUCCUUGUCGGGUAAGUUCCGACCUGCACGAAUGGCGUAAUGAUGGCCAGGCUGUCUCCACCCGAGACUCAGUGAAAUUGAACUCGCUGUGAAGAUGCAGUGUACCCGCGGCAAGACGGAAAGACCCCGUGAACCUUUACUAUAGCUUGACACUGAACAUUGAGCCUUGAUGUGUAGGAUAGGUGGGAGGCUUUGAAGUGUGGACGCCAGUCUGCAUGGAGCCGACCUUGAAAUACCACCCUUUAAUGUUUGAUGUUCUAACGUUGACCCGUAAUCCGGGUUGCGGACAGUGUCUGGUGGGUAGUUUGACUGGGGCGGUCUCCUCCUAAAGAGUAACGGAGGAGCACGAAGGUUGGCUAAUCCUGGUCGGACAUCAGGAGGUUAGUGCAAUGGCAUAAGCCAGCUUGACUGCGAGCGUGACGGCGCGAGCAGGUGCGAAAGCAGGUCAUAGUGAUCCGGUGGUUCUGAAUGGAAGGGCCAUCGCUCAACGGAUAAAAGGUACUCCGGGGAUAACAGGCUGAUACCGCCCAAGAGUUCAUAUCGACGGCGGUGUUUGGCACCUCGAUGUCGGCUCAUCACAUCCUGGGGCUGAAGUAGGUCCCAAGGGUAUGGCUGUUCGCCAUUUAAAGUGGUACGCGAGCUGGGUUUAGAACGUCGUGAGACAGUUCGGUCCCUAUCUGCCGUGGGCGCUGGAGAACUGAGGGGGGCUGCUCCUAGUACGAGAGGACCGGAGUGGACGCAUCACUGGUGUUCGGGUUGUCAUGCCAAUGGCACUGCCCGGUAGCUAAAUGCGGAAGAGAUAAGUGCUGAAAGCAUCUAAGCACGAAACUUGCCCCGAGAUGAGUUCUCCCUGACUCCUUGAGAGUCCUGAAGGAACGUUGAAGACGACGACGUUGAUAGGCCGGGUGUGUAAGCGCAGCGAUGCGUUGAGCUAACCGGUACUAAUGAACCGUGAGGCUUAACCUU